This 80-nucleotide ribosomal RNA is filed under the name Halobacillus trueperi. Its description in RNAcentral is "partial 16S ribosomal RNA". It matches the Rfam family "Bacterial small subunit ribosomal RNA", at positions 1 to 78 of the family's 1533-position model. RNAcentral also lists the same sequence under 1 other name. Lineage: Bacteria; Bacillati; Bacillota; Bacilli; Caryophanales; Bacillaceae. The record is from RNAcentral.
CUUUUAUGGAGAGUUUGAUCCUGGCUCAGGACGAACGCUGGCGGCGUGCCUAAUACAUGCAAGUCGAGCGCGGGAAGCGA